RNAcentral lists this ribosomal RNA (25 nucleotides) under Collybiopsis quercophila. RNAcentral describes it as "Gymnopus quercophilus partial 25S ribosomal RNA". The record is from RNAcentral. Lineage: Eukaryota; Fungi; Basidiomycota; Agaricomycetes; Agaricales; Omphalotaceae.
CCCGCUGAACUUAAGCAUAUCACUN